AGACACGGCCCCAGACUCUACGGGAGCACAGUGGGGAAUUUUUCCGCAAAUGGGCGCAAGCCUGACGGAGCAACGCCGCGUGAGCGGAGGAAUGUCUGUGGACUUGUAAACCUCUUUUCUCUGUGAAGAAGAUCUGACGGUAGCAGAGGAAUCAGCAUCGGCUAACUCCGUGCCAGCAGUCCGCGGUAAGACGGAGGAUGCAAGCGUUAUCCGGAAUUAUUGGGCGUAAAGCGUCCGUAGGCGAUCAUUUAAGUCAGUUGUUAAAGACUGCAGCUCAACUGUGGGAGAGCAACUGAAACUGAAUGACUAGAGUAUGGUAGGGGUAGAGGGAAUUCCUAGUGUAGCGGUGAAAUGCGUAGAUAUUAGGAAGGACACCAGUGGCGAAGGCGCUCUACUGGGCCAAGACUGACGCUGAUGGACGAAAGCUAGGGGAGCGAAAGGGAUUAGAUACUCCCUGUAGUCCUAGUCUGUAAACGAUGGAUACUAGGUGUUGUGCGUAUCGACCCGUGCAGUACCGUAGCAAACGCGUUAAGUAUCCCGCCUGGGGAGUACGCACGCAAGUGUGAAACUCAAAGGAAUUGACGG
RNAcentral lists this ribosomal RNA (585 nucleotides) under uncultured Leptolyngbya sp. RNAcentral's name for it is "bacterial SSU rRNA". It matches the Rfam family "Bacterial small subunit ribosomal RNA", at positions 322 to 916 of the family's 1533-position model. Lineage: Bacteria; Bacillati; Cyanobacteriota; Cyanophyceae; Leptolyngbyales; Leptolyngbyaceae. The record is from RNAcentral.